This 1083-nucleotide ribosomal RNA is filed under the name Metabacillus galliciensis. RNAcentral's name for it is "bacterial SSU rRNA". It matches the Rfam family "Bacterial small subunit ribosomal RNA", at positions 381 to 1455 of the family's 1533-position model. Lineage: Bacteria; Bacillati; Bacillota; Bacilli; Caryophanales; Bacillaceae. The record is from RNAcentral.
GUCUGACGGAGCAACGCCGCGUGAGUGAUGAAGCCUUCGGGUCGUAAAGCUCUGUUGUUAGGGAAGAACAAGUACCGUUCAAAUAGGGCGGUACCAUGACGGUACCUAACCAGAAAGCCACGGCUAACUACGUGCCAGCAGCCGCGGUAAUACGUAGGUGGCAAGCGUUGUCCGGAAUUAUUGGGCGUAAAGGGCUCGCAGGCGGUUCCUUAAGUCUGAUGUGAAAGCCCACGGCUCAACCGUGGAGGGUCAUUGGAAACUGGGGAACUUGAGUACAGAAGAGGAGAGUGGAAUUCCACGUGUAGCGGUGAAAUGCGUAGAGAUGUGGAGGAACACCAGUGGCGAAGGCGACUCUCUGGUCUGUAACUGACGCUGAGGAGCGAAAGCGUGGGGAGCGAACAGGAUUAGAUACCCUGGUAGUCCACGCCGUAAACGAUGAGUGCUAAGUGUUAGAGGGUUUCCGCCCUUUAGUGCUGCAGCAAACGCAUUAAGCACUCCGCCUGGGGAGUACGGUCGCAAGACUGAAACUCAAAGGAAUUGACGGGGGCCCGCACAAGCGGUGGAGCAUGUGGUUUAAUUCGAAGCAACGCGAAGAACCUUACCAGGUCUUGACAUCCCAUGACAACUCUAGAGAUAGAGCGUUCCCCUUCGGGGGACAUGGUGACAGGUGGUGCAUGGUUGUCGUCAGCUCGUGUCGUGAGAUGUUGGGUUAAGUCCCGCAACGAGCGCAACCCUUGAUCUUAGUUGCCAGCAUUUAGUUGGGCACUCUAAGGUGACUGCCGGUGACAAACCGGAGGAAGGUGGGGAUGACGUCAAAUCAUCAUGCCCCUUAUGACCUGGGCUACACACGUGCUACAAUGGAUGGUACAAAGGGCUGCGAGACUGCGAAGUUAAGCGAAUCCCAUAAAACCAUUCUCAGUUCGGAUUGCAGGCUGCAACUCGCCUGCAUGAAGCUGGAAUCGCUAGUAAUCGUGGAUCAGCAUGCCACGGUGAAUACGUUCCCGGGCCUUGUACACACCGCCCGUCACACCACGAGAGUUUGUAACACCCGAAGUCGGUGGAGUAACCGUAAGGAGCUAGCCG